RNAcentral lists this ribosomal RNA (484 nucleotides) under uncultured bacterium. RNAcentral describes it as "partial 16S ribosomal RNA". It matches the Rfam family "Bacterial small subunit ribosomal RNA", at positions 30 to 507 of the family's 1533-position model. The record is from RNAcentral.
AUUGAACGCUGGCGGCAGGCCUAACACAUGCAAGUCGAGCGGAUGAAGGGAGCUUGCUCCUUGAUUCAGCGGCGGACGGGUGAGUAAUGCCUAGGAAUCUGCCUGGUAGUGGGGGAUAACGUCCGGAAACGGGCGCUAAUACCGCAUACGUCCUGAGUGAGAAAGUGGGGGAUCUUCGGACCUCACGCUAUCAGAUGAGCCUAGGUCGGAUUAGCUAGUUGGUGGGGUAAAGGCCUACCAAGGCGACGAUCCGUAACUGGUCUGAGAGGAUGAUCAGUCACACUGGAACUGAGACACGGUCCAGACUCCUACGGGAGGCAGCAGUGGGGAAUAUUGGACAAUGGGCGAAAGCCUGAUCCAGCCAUGCCGCGUGUGUGAAGAAGGUCUUCGGAUUGUAAAGCACUUUAAGUUGGGAGGAAGGGCAGUAAGUUAAUACCUUGCUGUUUUGACGUUACCAACAGAAUAAGCACCGGCUAACUUCGUG